UCAGAUCACUAGACGAUCGCGUGUACCUUUAAACAGUAUUCGAGGAAAGUCCGGGCAGCAUAGGACAAAGACAGCCGCUAACGGCGGCCGGGGGUAACCCUAGGGAAAGUGCCACAGAAACAAAACUACCCCGCUGAUGCGGGGAAAAGGUGAAACGCGCGGUGUAAGAGACCGUAGUCGCGCAUGGUAACAUGCGAGAGAGGUAAACCCUGUCUGCUGCAAGGAGAUGUAGUCCCAGCGCAAGCUGGCUAGUCCGGUUGUACUACAUCGACAAACCCGCUUGACCCUAUGAGCAAUUAUGGGGCUAGAUAGAUGAUCGUUCGAGAGUUUACUCUUACAGAACCCGGCUUAUCGGUGAUCUGACACC
This 367-nucleotide RNase P RNA is filed under the name Candidatus Saccharimonadota bacterium. Its description in RNAcentral is "RNase P RNA component class A". It matches the Rfam family "Bacterial RNase P class A". From Rfam's summary of the family: Ribonuclease P (RNase P) is a ubiquitous endoribonuclease, found in archaea, bacteria and eukarya as well as chloroplasts and mitochondria. Its best characterised activity is the generation of mature 5'-ends of tRNAs by cleaving the 5'-leader elements of precursor-tRNAs. The record is from RNAcentral. Lineage: Bacteria; Candidatus Saccharimonadota.